Cricetulus griseus (Chinese hamster) is the source of this 2678-nucleotide non-coding RNA. The record is from RefSeq and is a predicted model, not a curated record. NCBI's taxonomy places the organism in Eukaryota, Metazoa, Chordata, Mammalia, Rodentia, Cricetidae.
UUUGUACCUAAUACAAGUUUCUGUGUAUUCAUUUGGGCCCAACUCGGGCAGGCGGCUGUCGUAAAGCUCACACAUGGCGGUGGGGCUCGGCGGCUUUUGGCAGAAAGAUUUAUCGUAACAAGGGCCUUGGACCAUGUGAUGGAAUAUCUCCACUCUCACUGUUUGCAGGCUUCAGAACUGGAGCAAGUUCCCAACCCACUCCACCUCUUUGCGUAUGUGCAGAAUGAACAUAUUUAUCUCCAGAGACUGGGAUAAUAUAAAUAAAGUCCUUGACCUUCAGAAGAUUCCCAUCUUCCACCAACAGGGCUGACCUUAUAAACAUUCUCAUCCGAAGCUUGCCUGAAGUUAGACAUACACUAUCACAGGACACCAGCAUGGACUACAAACACAACUCCAUGCUGUGGUGAAGACUAGAUUCUUGACUGUACCACAGAAAACAAUUUGGGGUCCUACCUGCCUGUGCAAAGCAGACUUGGGGCUUAUCAGGAAGAGAUUUUAGCAUAGAUCCAAGCAAGGCAGUUAAGAAAGAGAUGCUCAAAGAAACAAGAUAACACAACCCAAGCUUGUGAGUGUGGCUUCUCAAGAGAGGUUGCUCUUGGUGCCUUAGCUGGAAUAGGAAUUUCAAGUCUUGACAUUUUCAAAGAUUUUCUAAGAAACUCCUCUUUACUCUCCUUUGUUCCAGUUUUUGAUAAAUGAAGUUAUAGAAUAGCUCAGCCUUAGACAAAAUUACAAUAUGAUCCUGUUAAAUCAUGAGUCACAAAGGUAGGACAAGAAGAUGAAGAUGUGUUUUUUACUGUAAAUGGGGGUCCUCGAAAAAUUCCUAGAAAUCAUCAGGUUAACAGCUUGAGAAGGGAAAAAGCCAUACAUGCUUAGGCCUUAAGCAUAAUUCAUUGCUAUUUUAACAGUUUUACUUGAAAAUCCAUAUAAAAGGAGUAUUGUCUACAUGCAGCCAGCCUUCACAGCAAGUGUUAAUUGUGCUGGAAUUCCUGCCUCUGAGCUGGUACCCAAGAUUCUUCCUCUCAAAUGACCAUGAACUCUCUUCUGGUUCAGUAUUACAUUUUUAUCUAUCUUCUCUGUGUGCUGCUGGAGUACCUGCUGUAUCUGGUAUCAACACACUUGCACCCCUGGCGAUUGUACUCCCCACCCUGACCCUUACCUGCAGUCACUGAUUCUACCAGCACGGACUCUCCUUGUCCUUUGCAGCACUGGCUCCUUGAGAAAAGAUGGCUAUCUGGACAGUGGACUCCAUGUUGUCAUUGGAAUUAAGGCAUCACUUUAUGUUUCUGUUCUGCACAGUUCCACUCAUUUCCUCUGAUUGGCAAGACUGGGGGAUUAUUAUUGCCACUUCAAGAGGCACUGAAGUGUACGUGUCACAUUUGUGCAGGAAUGGUUCCUUGUGAGGCUUCUGCCUGUUCUUGAUGGGUUUCACCACCUUUGGAAAACAAGUAGAGACCAUAAAUGGUUUUUUGGGGGCGGGGGAGGUAGUUGGUUCUUUGGGACAGGGUUUCUCUAUGUAGCCCUGGAACUCACUAUGUAGACCAGGCUAGCCUCAAACUCAGAGAUCUGCCUGGGAUUAAAGGUGUGUACCACUACUGCCUGGUAAUGUUUUUUAAUAGAAUAUCCUUAUUAAUUCCUUGAGAAUUUUAUACAUGCACACAAUAUAUUUUUAUUGUAUGCAACUCCCAUUCUUCCCUCUAACCCCUCCCAGAUACCCUGAGUUUCCCAGGCCCUUUCCUCUCAACUUCACAUCCUUUUUUUUCUUUUUUUCUUGAGAUAGUCUGUCUCUGUGUAGACCAGUCUGGUUUCAAAUUCACAGAGAUCUGCCUCUGUCUCCUGAGUGCUGGGAAUAAAGGUGGGUGACACUAUGUGUUCAGUCGGACAGAGCCUGAAGCCUCUACGCACCGCUGCAUGGUCCCAGAAAUCCCCAUUCCAGUUUCUCUCUCCAAACCCUGCCCACUCAGAGAGUCCCCAAACAAAGGAAAGGCACCAAAAAGCCCAGUUCUGAAUUCUUAGCAACUAUGGCAACUUCCUCCCUGACACCCACCUAAAUGCUCAGCUUUUGACCAUACUUGAGGCACAAACCCAGCUUGUGGCAGACACAUCAUCACACCUCACCAAAACCUAUAAAAUCUCCCUGCUUUAGAGUGGGAAUGCAAAUUCUCUGGCCUCGAUCUCUGAGACCUAAGAAUCUGCCAGAAAUUUGCUUUGCUCAGUAUACCUGUUGUUAUAUUUUUCAGUUGGGCCUGAUCUGGCUUGUUGCAUUGCUGGAGAAACUUAUUUUCAGGAGUGGGGGGUAUGGGUAGGGGCAGAAACUUAUUAUGUGGGGCAGGAAACCUGUUACUAUACCCAGGCAUUUUUUUUUAAAUAACCCACCUAGUCCAAUUUCUGCUGCCCAUAUAGCCAUAGUUUUGGGACCAUCCACUGGAGCAUGGUAAACCUACCAAGAGCCACAACCUUAAGAAAAACAACCUCACCACCACCACCACCACCACCCCAGCCUCCCACAGCCUCUCAGCUAGGGAUGAGCUCAGGGGCCCUUCCCUGCCUCAUGCUGGGAUGUUGAUCAGCUUGGCUGUGCCCUGGCAACCACAGCUGCUGUAAGGGCAGGGGUCCAGGCACUUUGACUCCAUCCUCCCUGACCUUCUGCUCUUACAGUCUUUCUGCACCCCUUUUCUGUG